AAGGUCUCAAGGUAGCUGAGGAACUGUGCCUGAGGCCCAUUGAUCAGUAUUCUCCAUUGCAGACGCAGGAGGUGGCAAGACUAAAACACUAAAGGCCAAACCCUAUUAUGCCUUUUAGAAACAGAAUCAUACCUUACAAAUUAUCAUAGUACUCAGCAAGAUUACAUUUUAAGAUUUGAAAUUGGAGUCAUUUCCCUCAGCGUUAGGAGCAAAGUUGUAAAGUGCAAAGGUUUGAAGGAUUACCCCUUUGACAAUAUAGUUAUUUCUGAAACGAUUCAAUUCUUUCCCUUAUUUUCGUUUUCCAUGAGGUAUUAUCACCUCUUGUUUUACACCUUUCAUUACACCCGAUUUCUCUGAGGAAAAGAAGGUAUUGUAAGGAGCAAGAUCCAACAGUGAGACUUAACACCUUAACAGCCUUUUAGAAAUCCUACUGUCUCGUAGUAGAUAAUCUCAAAGCUUCCAGGGUUUUCAGCGACUGUUGAAGAAAGAUUUGUGUUUACCGAUCUGGAGGAGGAUAUUAGGUUUGAACAAUCUCUGAAGAAGAUUAAAAUGAAAAAAAAAAAUUGUCCCCCAUUUUGAACUACUAUACUACACUCUGGCGCCCCCCACCAGGCUUCUUUCUGGAAUUAGUGUCUGGGGGGAUAACUUUGGGGCUUAAGGGCUUUUGAGAAAAACUGAUAACAUAAAUAAAUAAUUAAUUAAUUAAUAAAUACAACACAACUCUGGCAGAUUCAUCAGCACCACCUCAACACCAUAGAGGGGAGAGAGCAAGAUUCACAGGACAAAGGGUGGGAAGGGAGGGGCUUGCAAGGCAAGACAGGGCAAGGUGGUGGAGAGAGGAGUCUUGGGCUUAAAGCAAGUCCAAUUCGAAGGAGUGGAUGCUGGCAAUGGGAGCUCUCCAGAAGUUGAAGGUGCUGUACUCCAGGAGGGCAUCGCCUUCGGAGUGUUUCUCCUGUUCAACUCCAGUUGGUUGCCCGGUCAUCUUGCCAGCGCUGCUGUCUUUGAUCUUGUAGGUGGAUGUAUCUGACAGACCCAGGCCUUCCAGCUCCGACAGAUCCAGCUCUGGAAUGGGCAUCCUCCAGAAAAGAAAGGAGCUGUACUGGCUACUCACAGGGUCCCUCAUAACUUCCUAGAAAGGAACCAGCUGUUAGUCCUCAUUCUAUAGCAACCUCUUCAUGGCCCACGGCCUUUCCUUACUUCAAAACUUCACAAGGGCACCCAGGUGGCUCCUUCGGUUAAGCAUCCAACUCUUGAUUUGGGCUCAGGUCAUGACCUCACUGUUCAUGAGACGGAGCCCCCCCCCCCCCCCCCCCCCCCCCNCCCCCCCCGCACUGGGCUCUGCACUGACAGCACAGAGCCUGCUUAGGCUUCUCUUUCCCCCUCUCUCUGCCCCUCUCCCACUUGUAGGCACGCCCUUUCUCUCUCAAAAUAAAUGAAGGUUAAAAAAAAAAACUUAUAAAAAAAGAAACCUUAAAAAAAAAAUAAAAACCUCCCAUUAUCAUUUGCCUCUGUACGUGAUCCAGAUUUCCUAGGACAAGCUUUGGGAACCUUUCCUUUAUUACUAUUUUCUACCAUUUCCUGCCUUCUCCCAUCUUGGAAGGACUUAUUCACUGCCUAAUGCUUCAAGUCAAUCUUGGGUCUGGUUUUCAAGGCUUUCUAGAAUUUGGCUCAUCCUUCCUAGCCAUGGUACAGUCUCUGCUAGUUAUGCUCAUUUCUGUCUUGCUUAACUUUGUCUACUCUCCAUCUUUUGUAUUUAUUAUUAUUUCUUUUACGUACAAGAUCAUCGGUUUACAACAAAAGGAUACAACUCUGGAAUGGCAGAUGGAGGAGAUACACAAGGCCAAGUACAGGAAGAGGGCGCAGAGCUCCCAUGCCCUCUCCAGGUGCUCCACUCUCCCCACAUCAUGUGUUUCCACCAACCUGGAAAGCUCCUCUCUGCUCUCCAUCUUAAAAUACCACCCAAAUUUCAAGACUACCACGAGUCCCUAGAAGAAUUCAAGUCCUUAGAGAAAUCAUUCCCCUGAAUUCUUAUGUUUUUAAAUACUUGGCUUUUUCCUAACUUUGGUUUAAUAGGUACCUCUUAAAAGGGCUUUGAGAGAGAGAGAGAGAGAAAGCAUGAGCCAGGAAGGGGCAAGAGAAAGAGGGAGACACAGAAUCUAAAGCAGGCUCCAGGCUCUGAGCUGUCAGCACAGAGCCUGAUGCAGGGCUUGAACCCAUGAUUGUGUCCUGAGCUGAAGUCAGACGCUCAACUGACUUAGCCACCAAAGCACCCCUAAUUUUCUCUCUUUAUCCAUCCAUAACUUGCCACUCCCAUCUUUUAGCCCACAGGUAAGCCUGAACAGCCUGUAUUUAUAGUUUUCUCUAGCCUACCUCUCCUUCAAAACAAAGCCCAGGUAGGUGCUGAAAGAAUUUUCCUAUGCUAUAACAAGAUCUUGAUUCUCUGAUCCUAAUGCUAGAAUUUACCUGAGAGCAAAUGGAUUGGGAAUUCCAGGUAAGGAAAGUAAGAGUUUAGACCAGAAGGAGAAAGUCCUUUGACAGAAUUCGAUACUUUUCUAUGCUCUAACAAGUACUCCUAUCAUCUUUUCCCACCCACACCCUGAUGUUAUAGGACUAGUAUGCCUCCUGCACCCUGCUGGUUACUAGCCAAGAAGGGGCAAAAGCAUUAGUUGAAAUGUUCACAAAGAAGCAGAAUGAACAUUCCACUGCCUCCAAAAAUAGAACCCCAUUUUAAAAGGCCUUCCUCCCAGUACACUCCAUUGGCUCCUACCAGGCCUGAGGCUCCUAAACAGUGGCUUUAAAUAGGUUCCCAACUGCCCCCAUAUAAUGUGUUAGGCGAACAUGAGAACCACUGCACUACAGGAACUAUAACCGCAUAUAAUGUGAACUGUCUCUACUGAGCCAGAACAAAAAAGCCUUAAUCUAGAGCACAGUUAUGUGUGAGUGUAGGGGCUUUAGGACUGGUGAGUGGGCAGACCAGGAUGUUUUUAAUGUUAAAAGCCAGUUCUCAGUUGCUCUUUUUCUUCUGAGGUUCAGGCUCCAAAAUAAACCCUGGGAACUGAGCAUUACUCAGCAGAGAAAUUGCUUAGAAGGAAGGUUAUGUGGGGACUGGAACAGGGUGGGGGAGGGUGCUGGAAAGGUGAGGUCAUCAUCCUAUGAUACUCAACUCUGAUCAUUUCCACAGUAAUUUCCAGAGACAUGUGCACAGAAAGAGUUACAAAAAAUGGUUGGACCUAUCAGACUACCUACUCUGGCUUCAGACAGGGACCACCUUAGGAUCAUCAAUGUUACGGACUUCUGACCAGAGACUUUUUUUUUUUCCUCUUCUUCUUCUUCCUUCCUUCCUUUUCUUUUUUAACUAAAUUGCCAGUUAUUUGCCUACAUUGCUGGCUUUUUUUUUUUUUUUAAUAUCUCCUCCCUUACCAGUCCUCUCCAGAUCAAGCUUAGUAUAAUAUGGGCACAUGAUAGAGUCUUUAAAAAAUAGAAUCACAGGGGGGAAAAAUCAUAGAAUUUUAAAACUAGAAGAUAUGUUUAGGGUUCCUGGAUGGCUCCAUCAGUGGAGUGUUUUACUCUUGAUCUUGGGGUUGUGAGUUUGAGCCUCAUGUUGGGUGUAGAGAUUACUUAAAUAAAUAUAUUCUGUGCUGUAACAUACGGUAUAUAUUUUUUUUUAAAAAGGAAAGAAAAGAAAACAUGUUAGAAAUUAUCUGCUGACUCGUGAAGCCUUCCAGCCAGUUAGAACAUAGGUCUCAUUCCCCAUCUGGUCUUUGUUGAUGUGUUGUACAUAGAUAGUUGCGUACAGUUUUAUAUAAUCCUAUACCAAUAUUCUCAAAACUUGCAAGAAUUCUUAGUUGCUGAAGAACAGAUACUCAGUAGAUUAGAUGUUGACUGUUCCUGUGAUUCUGAUCUGAAUGAUGAAAAUGCAGAAGACAGUAGAGAGCAAGCUAGAAUCUGAGACAGUGAAAAAGCUCUUUGACAAACUGACUACUUUUCUUAAAACCAGAUAUGUAUAAAAAUUGUCUAAACAAUCCCUGAGCGUCUGGCAGAGCGUAUCUUGCAAUAAAAAAAUGCUAAAGGAAAUUUUACAAAAUAUUAACUUACAAGGCCUAAAAUCUCUAGCUAUGCCAUGAACUCGGAGACAUGUACAGAGAGUACCAAAUGCAUAGAAAGACACUCAUACAAGCAUGUAUGACAUUUAAAUUCAAGUCAAGAACACUGACCACACAGAAAAUUGCAACUAAAAUACCAUUCACUCUACUCUCAUCAGUAAGGAAAUUCUGGUGUUUAAUAUAGUAUGGAUUUAAUUCCCAAGUCUCCAAAUUUUGCAGGAGGUCCCUGUUCAGCAAGCUUUCUCUUCCCCUCCCCAACUGUUCUCCAUCCAUACCUCAUCUCUCUUUCCAUUUCUUAAAGGGCUUGGACAGUGCCUUGUACCACAAUAUAUGCUCAAUAAAUCCUUCCAAAUGUCCUUCAUUUUAAAUGAUCCAGAUACUUUAGGCAAAGGUAAUUUCUAAAUAUCACCCUUUGUAUUCUUAGGGAUACGUGAUUAGCAAAUAUGUAGUAUAAAAAGACACACUCUCUCUGAGCCCCACAGACACACCCAAAUACCCUUUGUCUAGACCCUCUGUGGGAACCCAAGGCCUACCUGCCUGACAGGGCCUUGCUGUGUCAUGCUGCCACCAUUGGGGGGAAUGACAGGGAUGGUGGUUGGAGGGGAUGGAAGCUCUCUGGCAUUUCAGUAUAAGUGCCUCCCUCAUUCUGGUCUUGGAUUUCCCUGUUAGCCAUGACCUUCCCCCAUCUAUUCUCACUGAGCUGCAAAUAAGCAUUCCUUCCCAGAAUCUGCUAUGUAGCUUUUGUGGGCUGUACUGAUUUCAAUAUAGGAUCAGGCAGUUCUCCAACACAGAGGCCCCCACCUUCCUACCUCAAGCUGCCUCUUUCUUUGGAGCAAAGGUUUGAGAUGGGGAGUGAGAGGCUGUUAAACGAGAGGUCAGGAUUACUUUCAAUAUUAUGUCAUCCCUUCCCCCAAAUUCCCUCCUAUGGAGACAAAUAAGUUUGGGGUGAAGGCAGACACAUCAAUAGAACACCACAGAAAAAAAGUAUGUGUGUGUAUGUAUNNNNNUGUAUGUAUAUAUAUAUAUAUAUAUAUAUAUAUAUAUGGAAGUACAGGCUAGAGCAAAUACUACAGAUUCAUCAAAAAACAGGUAAAACAAAUUAUAGCUUGAAAAGGAAGAUGGAGAUAACAAAUGAAGAUAAUAAAACACCUAAGACAAAUUCUAGGCAAAUAGAUACUUGAAAUGAGAUAAACGCUGAGAAAUAAUAAUUCCAUGUAAAUUGUUAGAAAUUAAUGUCUGUGUAUUAGAAGGCAAUAAUGGAAAUCUUAGCAAAGGGAUCUAAAAGGUGACCAAAACCUACCCAUUGUUCACAGCGCCCCUUCUCUUGAACUGUCCCUACCUCAUCCUUAUUAAGGGUCUUCAACCUAACUAGAAGCAGCUGCUCUUUUAUCUUUGCAGCCCCUUGCCCCCCUUCCCGCAAUUUAGUUUACCUGUUAUCAAUGAAUUACUAGUGUGUUCCCAAGAUGGAAGGAGUACCUCGAGGCUCCGGCGUCUGCUCAGGGCUGGAGAGAAAGCAAGCUGUUGGGGCUUUGACGGCUUUGUCUUCUCACUCCCUCUCUCGCUCCAGUGGCUGAGUCUAUCUGCUCAGUCUCCCCCUGCAAUGCAGCCCCUCCUAAGAAGGGCGGAAGGACUCCCCGCCCCCUCCUUGCCUGACUCGGCUAAUUCAAAUGAUAGGUUCCAGAACACUUCAGGGAGGGAGACAGGAUUAAAGCAUCUUCGUAGGCUUUAUUGGUCGGCACAAUUAUUCCGGAGCUCUUCCCGCACCCCCCUGCUGCCUGGGGUGCAAUGAAUGAGUAGUUAAUUGUCCCCUAAUUUUAGGCUUAUGGAUUUAAAAAGCUUAACUCUGGAUAACAAUAGAGGGGUGUCCCUUUAUGCCUCAAUUUAAGGAUUUCAAGUUACGAAAUGUUUUAUUUUUGAGAAUCCGAAAAAAAAUCCUCGCCCCUCCCCCCUCCAAUCCCUACUCCUGCGACUCGCCUCCGCACCCUCACAAUGAGUAAAUAAACCUAGCCCCAUUCCACUUCGGGGAGAGCACGGGAGGAUGGGGUGGGGUGCUUCCACGAAUCUCUAAACUUAGUCGGGCUCGGGGGAUUUGGGGGCUCCUCUUAGUUUUGCCCCGCAAUGCCUGGCGCGCAAGGGGGGACGUGAGGCUGCGGGCAUCGCGGCUUGGGCGCGCCCCCCACCCCCCCGCCCACGGCCCGCGCAGGGGUGCCAGCCGGCCGAAGCCGCCAGGCCACCUCCCACGGCCCCGUGUGGUGCAGUGCCUCCCCAGUCCGGGGGGGAGCAGUGCGCCCAGCUCCGGGCCGGACGGGUUUCGUAAUCGCGUCGCCGCCGUUUCCGCCCCGAGCCAGCCCCACCUCUGCCGGCCCGCCCUCGGCUCUCCCACCGCGCCGCGGAGCCAGCCCGGGAAGCCCACACCGGCGGGCACGGCGCGGGAGCCCCCACCC
RNAcentral lists this long non-coding RNA (6547 nucleotides) under Lynx pardinus (Iberian lynx). Lineage: Eukaryota; Metazoa; Chordata; Mammalia; Carnivora; Felidae. The record is from RNAcentral.